AGUGAACGCUGGCGGUAGGCCUAACACAUGCAAGUCGAACGGCAGCACAGUACGAGCUUGCUCUUACGGGUGGCGAGUGGCGGACGGGUGAGGAAUACAUCGGAAUCUACUUUUUCGUGGGGGAUAACGUAGGGAAACUUACGCUAAUACCGCAUACGACCUACGGGUGAGAGCAUGGGAUCUUCGGACCUUGCGCGAUUGAAUGAGCCGGUGUCGGAUUAGCUGGUUGGCGGGGUACAGGCCCACCAAGGCGACGAUGCGUAGCUGGUCUGAGAGGAUGAUCAGCCACACGAGAAGUGAGACACGGCCGAGACUUCUGCGAGAGGCCAGAGUGGGAAAUUGUGCACAAGGGGCGAACGCCUGAUAGAGCCAGACCGCGUGGGUGAAGAAGGCCUUGGGGGUGAAAAGCCCUUUUGUGGGGAAAAAAGAGCAGAAGGAUAAUACCGCGGUGUUGACGCGGCACCCAAAAAAAGAACAGGGGCUAUCUGCG
This 490-nucleotide ribosomal RNA is filed under the name uncultured bacterium. RNAcentral describes it as "partial 16S ribosomal RNA". It matches the Rfam family "Bacterial small subunit ribosomal RNA", at positions 30 to 505 of the family's 1533-position model. The record is from RNAcentral.